RNAcentral lists this ribosomal RNA (405 nucleotides) under bacterium enrichment culture clone ALO1_GLFRUDD03F6WOT. RNAcentral describes it as "bacterial SSU rRNA". It matches the Rfam family "Bacterial small subunit ribosomal RNA", at positions 9 to 416 of the family's 1533-position model. The record is from RNAcentral. RNAcentral also lists the same sequence under 1 other name.
GAGUUUGAUCUUGGCUCAGAUUGAACGCUGGCGGCAGGCCUAACACAUGCAAGUCGAGCGGAUGACGGGAGCUUGCUCCUUGAUUCAGCGGCGGACGGGUGAGUAAUGCCUAGGAAUCUGCCUGGUAGUGGGGGACAACGUUUCGAAAGGAACGCUAAUACCGCAUACGUCCUACGGGAGAAAGCAGGGGACCUUCGGGCCUUGCGCUAUCAGAUGAGCCUAGGUCGGAUUAGCUAGUUGGUGGGGUAAUGGCUCACCAAGGCGACGAUCCGUAACUGGUCUGAGAGGAUGAUCUGCCACACUGGAACUGAGACACGGUCCAGACUCCUACGGGAGGCAGCAGUGGGGAAUUUUGGACAAUGGGGGCAACCCUGAUCCAGCCAUGCCGCGUGAGUGAAGAAGGCC